This 253-nucleotide ribosomal RNA is filed under the name uncultured bacterium. Its description in RNAcentral is "partial 16S ribosomal RNA". It matches the Rfam family "Bacterial small subunit ribosomal RNA", at positions 524 to 776 of the family's 1533-position model. The record is from RNAcentral.
UACGAAGGGUGCAAACGUUGCUCGGAAUCAUUGGGCGUAAAGCGCACGUAGGCGGCACACCAAGUCGGAUGUGAAAUCCCUCGGCUCAACCAAGGAAGUGCAUCCGAAACUGGCGAGCUUGAGUACGGGAGAGGAUCGCGGAAUUCCCGGUGUAGAGGUGAAAUUCGUAGAUAUUGGGAAGAACACCGGUGGCGAAGGCAGCUCGCUGGGACGAUACUGACGCUGAGGCGCGAAAGCGUGGGGAGCAAACAGG